RNAcentral lists this long non-coding RNA (1218 nucleotides) under Homo sapiens (human). RNAcentral describes it as "long intergenic non-protein coding RNA 658". The record is from RNAcentral. Lineage: Eukaryota; Metazoa; Chordata; Mammalia; Primates; Hominidae.
CUCUCUCUGCGGAAGCCAGCCACCGCUCUCCAAGGACUCUCGAGCAGCUCCAUCUACAGAUUCACAUGGAGAAGAAUUAAGGGUUCCUGCCAAUCACCAGCACCACUUUGCCAGCCUUGUAAGUGGGCCACCUUGGAAUUGGAGCCUCCAGUUCCUACUGACAUCUGACUGCAACAUCAUGAGAGACCCUGAGUUUGAACCACCCAGCUGAGCUGCUUCUGAGCUAACCCACUGAAACCACAGUUGGCAUCUGUGUGAAGAUGUGAAUGGAGGAGGCAGAGUAGGCAGUGAGUGCCGCAGCCACAGCUUGUGUUCUCUGCAGCCCUGGCACAGAAGAUAGGAACACUCAUGGGGGAUGCGGCCACUGUGAUGUCUUCCCACACAAGAAGUGCCAAGUGCUUUUCUCAUGCUUUUCUGGAUUGUCCCAUGGUGGACGAGUCAGCAGGAGUGAGAUGGAGCAGCACAGUAGAGGGGUACCUGGCAAGGCCCGGAGGGAGGACCCCCUGCCCCAAACAUUUCAAUGAUAUCAGGUUCCUUAGAUCCUGGGAUGAGGAGGUGGACCAGCAGAAGGUGGGCUUGUGAAGGCAGCCCGGGGUCCAAAUCCUCCUGGCUCUUCAGCUUAGCGGGUUAGUUAACAUUCAGAAGCCUUCAUCUCCCAUCUGCAAAAUGGGCAUGUCCAACUCAGAAGCUGCCUUGAAGAAAGGGUCUACCCAGCAUGGUGCGUGGAGCCUAAGCAGUCAGUACUUCAGGACUUCACCCGGCCCCUUUCCAAUAACUGCUGCUGUCGCCCUCACAGGAUGUCACCUUCAGCGUCUGAAAGCUGGGUUUGAUGCGUCUGGAAAGGCGUCCCUGACAGGCGUCGUUGCCAGGAGCCCCUAGUGCCACCAGCAGCCAGCAGGGGAGGGCGUCCUCUGCCCGCUCACUUCUGACCCUUCUCUCGUUGCACCCGGAACAUGGUGCAGCUGGGAGCAGCCUGGGCUGCGCGGAAGGCUCAGAUUUGGGGACGGCCCUUGCCAGUGACUGUGAGCUGGGGUGUCUUGGAAACUCCCAGUCUCAGCUUCUCCAUUUAUAAGAUGAGAAUGAUCAUACCAGACUCAGGCAAGGUUGUUUGUGCAUUAGUGAAAUCAGACGUAUUAAAUAAAGUACCACAUUGAUCGUGGAGUUGUUGAAUAACCAAGAACACGCCUAUCUGUCUCCAAAAAAUAAAUGUUGAAAAUG